CUCCAAGGCUAAAUACUCCUGACUGACCGAUAGUGAACCAGUACCGUGAGGGAAAGGCGAAAAGAACCCCGGCGAGGGGAGUGAAAAAGAACCUGAAACCGUGUACGUACAAGCAGUGGGAGCACGCUUAGGCGUGUGACUGCGUACCUUUUGUAUAAUGGGUCAGCGACUUAUAUUCUGUAGCAAGGUUAACCGAAUAGGGGAGCCGAAGGGAAACCGAGUCUUAACUGGGCGUUAAGUUGCAGGGUAUAGACCCGAAACCCGGUGAUCUAGCCAUGGGCAGGUUGAAGGUUGGGUAACACUAACUGGAGGACCGAACCGACUAAUGUUGAAAAAUUAGCGGAUGACUUGUGGCUGGGGGUGAAAGGCCAAUCAAACCGGGAGAUAGCUGGUUCUCCCCGAAAGCUAUUUAGGUAGCGCCUCGUGAAUUCAUCUCCGGGGGUAGAGCACUGUUUCGGCAAGGGGGUCAUCCCGACUUACCAACCCGAUGCAAACUGCGAAUACCGGAGAAUGUUAUCACGGGAGACACACGGCGGGUGCUAACGUCCGUCGUGAAGAGGGAAACAACCCAGACCGCCAGCUAAGGUCCCAAAGUCAUGGUUAAGUGGGAAACGAUGUGGGAAGGCCCAGACAGCCAGGAUGUUGGCUUAGAAGCAGCCAUCAUUUAAAGAAAGCGUAAUAGCUCACUGGUCGAGUCGGCCUGCGCGGAAGAUGUAACGGGGCUAAACCAUGCACCGAAGCUGCGGCAGCGACGCUUAUGCGUUGUUGGGUAGGGGAGCGUUCUGUAAGCCUGUGAAGGUGUGCUGUGAGGCAUGCUGGAGGUAUCAGAAGUGCGAAUGCUGACAUAAGUAACGAUAAAGCGGGUGAAAAGCCCGCUCGCCGGAAGACCAAGGGUUCCUGUCCAACGUUAAUCGGGGCAGGGUGAGUCGACCCCUAAGGCGAGGCCGAAAGGCGUAGUCGAUGGGAAACAGGUUAAUAUUCCUGUACUUGGUGUUACUGCGAAGGGGGGACGGAGAAGGCUAUGUUGGCCGGGCGACGGUUGUCCCGGUUUAAGCGUGUAGGCUGGUUUUCCAGGCAAAUCCGGAAAAUCAAGGCUGAGGCGUGAUGACGAGGCACUACGGUGCUGAAGCAACAAAUGCCCUGCUUCCAGGAAAAGCCUCUAAGCAUCAGGUAACAUCAAAUCGUACCCCAAACCGACACAGGUGGUCAGGUAGAGAAUACCAAGGCGCUUGAGAGAACUCGGGUGAAGGAACUAGGCAAAAUGGUGCCGUAACUUCGGGAGAAGGCACGCUGAUAUGUAGGUGAAGUCCCUCGCGGAUGGAGCUGAAAUCAGUCGAAGAUACCAGCUGGCUGCAACUGUUUAUUAAAAACACAGCACUGUGCAAACACGAAAGUGGACGUAUACGGUGUGACGCCUGCCCGGUGCCGGAAGGUUAAUUGAUGGGGUCAGCGCAAGCGAAGCUCUUGAUCGAAGCCCCGGUAAACGGCGGCCGUAACUAUAACGGUCCUAAGGUAGCGAAAUUCCUUGUCGGGUAAGUUCCGACCUGCACGAAUGGCGUAAUGAUGGCCAGGCUGUCUCCACCCGAGACUCAGUGAAAUUGAACUCGCUGUGAAGAUGCAGUGUACCCGCGGCAAGACGGAAAGACCCCGUGAACCUUUACUAUAGCUUGACACUGAACAUUGAGCCUUGAUGUGUAGGAUAGGUGGGAGGCUUAGAAGUGUGGACGCCAGUCUGCAUGGAGCCGACCUUGAAAUACCACCCUUUAAUGUUUGAUGUUCUAACG
RNAcentral lists this ribosomal RNA (1784 nucleotides) under Escherichia coli. RNAcentral describes it as "partial 23S ribosomal RNA". It matches the Rfam family "Bacterial large subunit ribosomal RNA", at positions 458 to 2227 of the family's 2925-position model. Lineage: Bacteria; Pseudomonadati; Pseudomonadota; Gammaproteobacteria; Enterobacterales; Enterobacteriaceae. The record is from RNAcentral.